RNAcentral lists this ribosomal RNA (253 nucleotides) under uncultured bacterium. RNAcentral describes it as "partial 16S ribosomal RNA". It matches the Rfam family "Bacterial small subunit ribosomal RNA", at positions 524 to 776 of the family's 1533-position model. The record is from RNAcentral.
GACGUAGGGGGCCAGCGUUGUUCGGAAUUACUGGGUGUAAAGGGUUCGUAGGCGGUGCGGCAAGUUGGGAGUGAAAUCUCUGGGCUUAACCCAGAGGCUGCUUCCAAAACUGCUGUGCUUGAGUGUGGGAGAGGCGCGUGGAAUUGCAGGUGCAGCGGUGAAAUGCGUAGAUAUCUGCAGGAACACCCGUGGCGAAAGCGGCGCGCUGGACCACUACUGACGCUGAGGAACGAAAGCUAGGGGAGCAAACAGG